Molecule: ribosomal RNA, 720 nt
Filed under: uncultured bacterium
Lineage: Bacteria
Description: bacterial SSU rRNA
Rfam family: Bacterial small subunit ribosomal RNA
Source: RNAcentral
GACGCUAAUACCGCAUGACAUCCUGCCUUUGAAGAGGUGGAGCUUAUAGCUGGGGAUCGCAAGACCUAGCGCUUGAAGAGGGGCCCGCGCCUGAUUAGCUAGUUGGUGAGGUAACGGCUCACCAAGGCAGCGAUCAGUAUCCGGCCUGAGAGGGCGGACGGACACACUGGGACUGAGACACGGCCCAGACUCCUACGGGAGGCAGCAGUGGGGAAUUGUUCGCAAUGGGCGCAAGCCUGACGACGCAACGCCGCGUGGAGGAUGAAGACCUUCGGGUCGUAAACUCCUUUCGAUCGAGACGAACGGCUUCCGGGUGAACAAUCCGGAAGAGUGACGGUACCGAGAGAAGAAGCCCCGGCUAACUCCGUGCCAGCAGCCGCGGUAAUACGGGGGGGGCAAGCGUUGUUCGGAAUUACUGGGCGUAAAGGGCUCGUAGGCGGCCAACUAAGUCAGACGUGAAAUCCCUCGGCUUAACCGGGGAACUGCGUCUGAUACUGGAUGGCUUGAGAUUGGGAGAGGGAUGCGGAAUUCCAGGUGUAGCGGUGAAAUGCGUAGAUAUCUGGAGGAACACCGGUGGCGAAGGCGGCAUCCUGGACCAACACUGACGCUGAGGAGCGAAAGCCAGGGGAGCAAACGGGAUUAGAUACCCCGGUAGUCCUGGCCCUAAACGAUGAAUGCUUGGUGUGGCGGGUAUCGAUCCCUGCCGUGCCGAAGCUAACG